CUGCCUAAGUAAUUAAACAUAACAACCAAGUCACCAUGCACAAUUGUUACAAGUAAACUGAUAGAUAUCAUAGAAACCAGUCGAAUCAAAGCUUGUUCCUAAAUUACAACAAGACUUAAUUAUGAAGUUAUGAUGACUAACAGUCAUAAAACUCAGAUAAAUGGCUAAUUAUGGAAUAACAUGUUAGCAUGGUGACUGAAGGAUUGUCUUUAUUAUGUCUGUUGUAAUCUUAAAGCCUGUAAUAGGUGGAGAGCAACACUAACAGUCAAGUCACAGUAAUAACAGUUCCUUUAGAACAGAUGUGCUGUAUGCCUAUGAAACACAAGUAGAUACCAAGAUAUUCAAUGUACACUGCAAGGAAUUUCUUUUAGGACAUUGCACUCGCUGAAAUACAUUUAUUCAAUAUUUUUGAAAUUCUAUACUUGGACUGGGUAUCUAGUUUGAGUUAUUGCUGUAAUAUGAUAUCUGAAGCAAACAACAUUUGAUGAGAUCAUAUUUAUGAAGAUUUCAUCCAACUUCCUUCUUAGCCUUAUAAAUCUAACAGAACAAAUAACAUCAUCCUAACAGAAUCAGAGGAAUAUUUCACUGCAGAUUUUUUUUAACUUUUUUUAAGGCUGUACCUUACUUUUCUACAUUUAAG
This 640-nucleotide long non-coding RNA is filed under the name Mytilus galloprovincialis (Mediterranean mussel). The record is from RNAcentral. Lineage: Eukaryota; Metazoa; Mollusca; Bivalvia; Mytilida; Mytilidae.